UACAGAGGUCCCAAGCGUUGUUCGGAUUCACUGGGCGUAAAGGGUGCGUAGGUGGCAGGGUAAGUUUGAUGUGAAAUCUCCGAGCUUAACUCGGAAACUGCAUUGAAUACUAUUCUGCUCGAGGUUUGGAAGGGGGACUGGAAUUCUCGGUGUAGCAGUGAAAUGCGUAGAUAUCGAGAGGAACACCAGUGGCGAAGGCGAGUCCCUGGACACUUCCUGACACUGAGGCACGAAAGCUAGGGGAGCAAACAGG
This 253-nucleotide ribosomal RNA is filed under the name uncultured bacterium. RNAcentral's name for it is "partial 16S ribosomal RNA". It matches the Rfam family "Bacterial small subunit ribosomal RNA", at positions 524 to 776 of the family's 1533-position model. The record is from RNAcentral.